AUUGAACGCUGGCGGCAGGCCUAACACAUGCAAGUCGAGCGGAUGAAGGGAGCUUGCUCCUGGAUUCAGCGGCGGACGGGUGAGUAAUGCCUAGGAAUCUGCCUGGUAGUGGGGGAUAACGUCCGGAAACGGGCGCUAAUACCGCAUACGUCCUGAGGGAGAAGGUGGGGGAUCUUCGGACCUCACGCUAUCAGAUGAGCCUAGGUCGGAUUAGCUAGUUGGUGGGGUAAAGGCCUACCAAGGCGACGAUCCGUAACUGGUCUGAGAGGAUGAUCAGUCACACUGGAACUGAGACACGGUCCAGACUCCUACGGGAGGCAGCAGUGGGGAAUAUUGGACAAUGGGCGAAAGCCUGAUCCAGCCAUGCCGCGUGUGUGAAGAAGGUCUUCGGAUUGUAAAGCACUUUAAGUUGGGAGGAAGGGCAGUAAGUUAAUACCUUGCUGUUUUGACGUUACCAACAGAAUAAGCACCGGCUAACUUCGU
This 483-nucleotide ribosomal RNA is filed under the name uncultured bacterium. RNAcentral describes it as "partial 16S ribosomal RNA". It matches the Rfam family "Bacterial small subunit ribosomal RNA", at positions 30 to 506 of the family's 1533-position model. The record is from RNAcentral.